GACAGAGGGGGCAAGCGUUGCUCGGAAUCACUGGGCGUAAAGGGCGCGUAGGCGGGAUGGCAAGUCGGUCGUGAAAUCCUUCGGCUCAACCGAAGAACGUCGGCCGAUACUGCUGUUCUUGAGGGAUGCAGAGGUCGGUGGAAUUGCCGGUGUAGUGGUGAAAUGCGUAGAGAUCGGCAGGAACACCCAGGGGGAAACCAGCCGACUGGGCAAGUGCUGACGCUGAGGUGCGAGAGCGUGGGGAGCGAACCGG
This 253-nucleotide ribosomal RNA is filed under the name uncultured bacterium. RNAcentral describes it as "partial 16S ribosomal RNA". It matches the Rfam family "Bacterial small subunit ribosomal RNA", at positions 524 to 776 of the family's 1533-position model. The record is from RNAcentral.